UUUUUUUUUUUUUUUGCAUGUGCAUGUAUGUACUUAUUCGAGUUGGUUUGUAUAUGUGCAUGCAGAGGUUGACUUGAAGUGUGUUCCUCAAUUGCUCUUUGAUUUAUGUUCUGAAGCCAUGUCUUGAUGAGCCUGGAGCUUGCAGGUUGGUUAAGAUCACUUGCUAAUCUGCCUCCAGAGAUCCUUUGCCUCCACUUCCCAAUCACUGGGAUUGCCCAGUUGGUUUUUAUGUAGCUACAGAAAACCCAGUUUUCCUGCUUCCAUGGCAAACAUUUCAUCUACUGAGCUAUAUCCAUAGCUCAGUUUUUUUUUUAAUAUUAUUUGGCUAUGAUUAUCUUGGUUGCUUCAAAAGUCAAAUUCAUUUUUUUUGUUUGCUGUUGUUUUUUGUUUUUAGAAACAGGGAUUCUCUGUAUAGCCCUGCUGUCCUGGAACUCAUGCUGCAGAUGAGGCUGACCCUUGAAGUGAGAGAGCUGCUUGCCCCUGCCUUCUUACUGCUGAGAUUAAAGGUCUGUGUAUCAUUUUUGAGAUAAACUCAGUGUAAACUAUAAGGCAAAGACAUGUUCGAAUUUAAUCUACAUAUAACACCCAGCAUGGAGAGAAUCAGAAACCAAGAGCAUGGUGUACUCAGUCUAACCCACAGGUUAUGGGCCAGAGCUUCAUAAUGAAAUAGUGAAAUGAGAAUGUAUGUUUUUUAUCAAGGAGUUCAUUGUCCUUUCUGGUACACUACACCACCCAGUGCCUAAUCUGUCUAAAGAGGCAGGGCUGACACAGCGACCUCCUCAUGUGGAAUCACCCGGAACCAUUUCUGUUCCAGCUCUUCUGUUUUUUGGCAAGUGCAUCUAAAAAUUGAGGAUGAAAGUCUAGGUGACUUUCUGGUGGCUGUGCAGAUGAGAAGUCGGACAGUGGCACUGCAGUUUGCUCUGAUUGACUCUGGAGCCUGUGUUUGAAGCUACAGCAAUACAACAGUCUGCUCCAGCGCUGAGCUUGUAGGAAGGCGACCACUCCAGGCCGACUCAAUGGCUUUAGCCUCCAGAGUUAUCGUCGUUUGGCAGGAAGUCUUAAAGAACCCCACAGCGUGCCCUUCCGCCCCUGGCACAUCAUAAGCUAUUUUGGGAUGAGUCAUCGGAAUUCUGUGGUUUGCAUAUCCUGAAGGGGAAGAGAAGACACUGUAUGGCUAACAUUUAUUUGAAAUAGCAAGUUGGAAAGAAAAAUUCUUCGAUAAAAGUUCAGCAUUAGAACACACAGGAAGGUAGGCUUGGUGACUUCUGCAUGUGACUGUCAUAAGCAGAUGCUUGUUGCGCUUCUCCCAAGCCACGUUGGAAGAUGCUUUCCAAAUGCCUUGCGCUGAGCACAUCACCAGAAUGGUUUCCAAGCUACAAGAUGGCUCCAGGGGACACAGGAUACUCACCUGGCUGAGUAAGGAGGGAGAAGGGAUCUGUAAGUGCUCCCCCGUCAGCUGCUACACACUCUGACAUGCAGCUAAUAAUUUAUGAACUUCUAACUUUGGAGGCUGCCUUCAGAUGAUAAGCCUCAUAAAAGCUAACAAGGGUAUAUCUUUGGUAAGUCAGCGAAGCAUUAAAAGGACAAAUAGCCA
RNAcentral lists this long non-coding RNA (1594 nucleotides) under Mus musculus (house mouse). RNAcentral's name for it is "predicted gene 12610". The record is from RNAcentral. Lineage: Eukaryota; Metazoa; Chordata; Mammalia; Rodentia; Muridae.